This 1718-nucleotide long non-coding RNA is filed under the name Salvia miltiorrhiza (redroot sage). Its description in RNAcentral is "long non-coding RNA (SMIL_LNC012011)". The record is from RNAcentral. Lineage: Eukaryota; Viridiplantae; Streptophyta; Magnoliopsida; Lamiales; Lamiaceae.
UAAACCUGUCACGGGAAAGCAGUGCUAAUCCUCCUGGUCCUCAAAGCCUACAAGAAAUCUAUUCUUAAUAGGUCUCUUGGUGCUUAUUCUAACUUCUAAAUAAAAAGGAGAAAAAUCACUAACUAUUGAUUACACUUUACCCGAAUUAAUAAUCUCUUUAAGUGAAUCCAUAAAUUUUAAAUACAUAAUUAAUGACAAAUUUAAAACUUAUAAAUAAUUUAUAAUUUUAUUAAAAUAUAAAAACUCAAUCUUAUAAGAAAAAUAAUAAAACUAGUUAAGGCACUUCAAACCCAUUUAAAGGAAGAAAUAGAGCCCAAGACAAAACAAUACAAAAGACUUGUUCAAUUUAAAUGAGCCCAAGUAAAUUAAAUGAAUAGAGCCCAUCAGAUAGAUGAAAUCAGCCCAACACACACUUUAAAAACUCGGCCCAUUAAAGAAAAAUCCAUCAGCUUUUGAAAAGAGCCCAAAACUUACAAAGAAAACCUAAAAAUCUAAAAUGAAAAGCCAAAAAUUCACUCUCUCUCUCCUCACACUCAUCAUCGGCUCCCUCUCUUCCCCUCUAUAUCCGCCACCCUCUCUCUCUCCCACAUGCAGCCACGCCGUCGCCCCUCUUCCCGGCGAGUCAUCGCCGGGAACCACCUCUGGCCGUAAGCCAUGUUUCUCUCCUCCUCCCAUCUGCCCCUCUCUCAACUCUCGUGUCCUCUCUCUCCAGUAGUCCAGUUGCUCUGCCAGUCCGCCCUUCCUCCCAAGCUCCACGCCGGCCGCCUGCUCCAGCUCCGGCGAAAUCUUCGCCGGAAACACCUCCCUCUGGUCGUCCCUCUCUCACCUCACUCAAAACUCUCUUUCUCUCUUCUUCCAGAACCACCUCUUCUUCUUCCUCCCAGAUCCAUCGCCGCCGCCGCCGCCUGCUUCAGCUCCGGCGAAAUCGCCGGAUCCGAGGCCUCCCUCACUCAUCGCCUCCCUCCUCUCGCGUUUCCGGCAGCGGACGGCCAAGAAGGGCCGCCGCCGCUGCUGCUCCGUUCACGCCGCGUUAGCGGCGCUUGGCCUUCGGCCGCGCCGCCCCAGCCUCGCCCACGACGUCGCCUCGCUUCGACUCCGUCUGUCUUGGCCGUGGGUGGCCGGCGGGCUGCUGCAACGCAUGCAGCGCCGGCAGCCGCGGCCUUGACAGCUCGGCGUCGAGCUCGGACAGCCCGUACCCUUCUCCCUCUCGUCUCUCACACUCAACAAGGCAACGAAAAGAAAAAAUCUCAGAUUUGAAAAGAUUUGAUUUUUGGGUGUUUUGAGUUUCUGAAAUAUUAAGUUAUAAGAAAGAGAAUUCAGUAGAAUGUGUUCUUGUGUGAGCAUAAAAAACAAUAAGAAAUGAUUUCGUGUACAGUCCUUGAGUUCUCUGAUAUGAGCUGGGUUUAUUCUCUAUGAUUCUUCUUCCUUUUCUUAACAACAUGGAUGAAAAUGUAGAAGAGAAAUUAUAAAUGUAUGGGGUUUGAGGUAACCUUGUGUGGAGUUGUUCUUGAAGGCGUUGCUGGAGUUGUUUGAGAGUUUCUUGAUUUACUGAGUAUGGUUGAAAACAGCUGCAGAGAUUGGAGAGUGCAGGGAUUGGAGUGGAGUGUGUGGAUGGCUUGUGGGUUAGGAGCAUACUUAAAUGAAGGUGGAGGGAGGUUGCGUGUAGGAUGAAUUGGCAAGAUUUGGAUUGCAGAAUUUUUGGGAAAAUGAGAGAUUUG